CAGCUCGUGUCGUGAGAUGUUGGGUUAAGUCCCGUAACGAGCGCAACCCUUGUCCUUAUUUGCCAGCACGUAAUGGUGGGAACUCUAAGGAGACUGCCGGUGACAAACCGGAGGAAGGUGGGGACGACGUCAAGUCAUCAUGGCCCUUAUGACCAGGGCUACACACGUGCUACAAUGGGGCGUACAGAGGGUUGCUAAGCCGCGAGGUGGAGCCAAUCCCAGAAAACGUUUCGUAGUCCGGAUCGAAGUCUGCAACUCGACUUCGUGAAGUCGGAAUCGCUAGUAAUCGCGAAUCAGCAUGUCGCGGUGAAUACGUUCCCGGGCCUU
This 327-nucleotide ribosomal RNA is filed under the name uncultured marine bacterium. RNAcentral describes it as "bacterial SSU rRNA". It matches the Rfam family "Bacterial small subunit ribosomal RNA", at positions 1056 to 1382 of the family's 1533-position model. The record is from RNAcentral.